UACGUAGGGACCGAGCGUUGUCCGGAUUCAUUGGGCGUAAAGAGCUCGUAGGCGGCUGUUCAAGUCGAACGUGAAAACUCGGAGCUCAACUCCGAGCCUGCGUUCGAUACUGGACGGCUAGAGUCUGGUAGGGGGAUCUGGAAUUCCUGGUGUAGCGGUGAAAUGCGCAGAUAUCGGGAGGAACACCAAUGGCGAAGGCAGCUCGCUGGGACGUUACUGACGCUGAGACGCGAAAGCGUGGGGAGCAAACAGG
RNAcentral lists this ribosomal RNA (253 nucleotides) under uncultured bacterium. RNAcentral describes it as "partial 16S ribosomal RNA". It matches the Rfam family "Bacterial small subunit ribosomal RNA", at positions 524 to 776 of the family's 1533-position model. The record is from RNAcentral.